Molecule: ribosomal RNA, 441 nt
Filed under: uncultured bacterium
Lineage: Bacteria
Description: partial 16S ribosomal RNA
Rfam family: Bacterial small subunit ribosomal RNA
Source: RNAcentral
CUACGGGGCGCAGCAGUAAGGAAUCUUCCGCAAUGGACGAAAGUCUGACGGAGCGACACCGCGUGCAGGAUGACACCCCUCGGGGCGUAAACUGCUUUUCUGAGUGACGACAUUCUGACAUUAACUCAGGAAUAAGCACCGGCUAAUUACGUGCCAGCAGCCGCGGUAAUACGUAAGGUGCGAGCGUUAUCCGGAAUCAUUGGGCGUAAAGCGUCCGCAGCCGGAUUUAUAAGUCUGAUGUUAAAUCUUGUGGCCCAACCAUAAGCUUGUAUCGGAAACUGUAAAUCUAGAGUAAUGUAGAGGUACGUGGAAUUUGUGGUGUAGGGGUAAAAUCCGUUGAUAUCACAAGGAACACCAAAAGCGAAGGCAGCGUACUGGACAUUUACUGACGGUCAAGGACGAAAGCGUGGGGAGCGAACAGGAUUAGAUACCCUCGUAGUC